UCCCUGGUUUAAUCCUAGGUUUCAGGAGCUGAUGUGCUGCUUGAAGGUGGAAAUUGUUCUGUUCAAAAAAAUGUUGGAUUGAAAAUCUAAAGGUCCCAGGUUUCAGCAGAUCUCAUUCUGUAUGAUGUAGCAGUGCCCUGUUAAGCAGCUGAAUAUCUGUUUAGCAUUUUUUUUGAUCUUGUGGAAGUGGGAGACAAAUCUGAGAACCUCCUUGUGACCUGCUUCUGGGCUUGGCCCAGGUGGGUAUUAGGAGGUCUACGCAACCAGCUGAGAGAGUGUUGUCAGACCCUGUAGGACCAACCAACAUCAGCCCAUGUCGGACAACUGUGGUUUCAUAUAACUGAAUGCACUUGGUCACAAAACCUGUGGAAGAGGAGGAACAUAAAUCAGGGCUGAAUUGUUGAUAAUUACAUGUCUGUUAAACCCAAAAGAUAUACAUAGUGGCACAUGUGUAAUCAGUGUAAUCAGUGCAGUGCCAUUUGUAAAAUUUUUUUCCCUACUUUUUGCAGUCUAACAGCCAACAUCACAAAUAAUAUCUUGGCUUUUGUUUACAAUGAGAAAUUAAAUAUUGAAAUUAC
Molecule: long non-coding RNA, 578 nt
Organism: Rhincodon typus (whale shark)
Lineage: Eukaryota; Metazoa; Chordata; Chondrichthyes; Orectolobiformes; Rhincodontidae
Exons: 2
Source: RefSeq, a predicted model, not a curated record